UGGGGAAUUUUGGACAAUGGGCGAAAGCCUGAUCCAGCAAUGCCGCGUGUGUGAAGAAGGCCUUCGGGUUGUAAAGCACUUUUGUCCGGAAAGAAAUCCUUGGCUCUAAUACAGUCGGGGGAUGACGGUACCGGAAGAAUAAGCACCGGCUAACUACGUGCCAGCAGCCGCGGUAAUACGUAGGGUGCAAGCGUUAAUCGGAAUUACUGGGCGUAAAGCGUGCGCAGGCGGUUUGCUAAGACCGAUGUGAAAUCCCCGGGCUCAACCUGGGAACUGCAUUGGUGACUGGCAGGCUAGAGUAUGGCAGAGGGGGGUAGAAUUCCACGUGUAGCAGUGAAAUGCGUAGAGAUGUGGAGGAGUACCGAUGGCGAAGGCAGCCCCCUGGGCCAAUACUGACGCUCAUGCACGAAAGCGUGGGGGAGCAAACAGGAUUAGAUACCCUGGUAGUCCACGCCCUAAACGAUGUCAACUAGUUGUUGGGGAUUCAUUUCCUUAGUAACGUAGCUAACGCGUGAAGUUGACCGCCUGGGGGAGUAC
This 537-nucleotide ribosomal RNA is filed under the name uncultured bacterium. RNAcentral's name for it is "partial 16S ribosomal RNA". It matches the Rfam family "Bacterial small subunit ribosomal RNA", at positions 355 to 883 of the family's 1533-position model. The record is from RNAcentral.